CAUUCUUUAUCUGGCCUCAAAAUGCACUCUUAACUCAUGGCGUCUAUUUGGCUGAACUUCAUGUUAAAUUUUCAACCUCGGGCAAGGAUUCAGAAGUUUUACAAACAGGCUGUUGUGUAUUUUUCAGCAAGGAUGUCUUUGAAGAAGUGUAGUACUCUUAAGUCAUUACCUUAAAUGAAAAGCUUGUAAGAAAGCCUUUCCACUGCCAUGGUACCCUGGGAGCAGCAGUGUUGGAUGAGGGCAGGGUGACAUCCAGUGGCUGGCUUCUGCCUGGCUCUGGGAAGGACUUAGUACAUCACAGGGACAACCCAGCUGGGAGGGCCCUUGGGUGUCUCCUGCCCAAAUCCACCAAAUCCACAUCAGAGCCCUCAUAGAUUUGCCUCACAGAUUUUUCUUGAAAGCCUCCAAGAGCUCCAGAUGCAACCCACUGAACAUGCUGAGUGAUGGUUUUUGCCAUUCCUUUUCCAUCUUUCAGAAGCACAAAUUUCAGAAGACAUCAGAGAGAGCCCACCCUGGCAGGUUACACUGUGUCUGA
Molecule: long non-coding RNA, 535 nt
Filed under: Cyanistes caeruleus (blue tit)
Lineage: Eukaryota; Metazoa; Chordata; Aves; Passeriformes; Paridae
Description: lncRNA (ENSCCEG00000012201.1)
Source: RNAcentral